AUCCCAUAAACCGUGGCUCAGUUCAGAUCGUAGGCUGCAACUCGCCUACGUGAAGCAGGAAUCGCUAGUAAUCGCAGGUCAGCAUACUGCGGUGAAUACGUUCCCGGGCCUUGUACACACCGCCCGUCACACCAUGGAAGUUGGCCAUGCCCGAAGUCGUUACUCCAACCCUUGUGGAGGAGGACGCCGAAGGUGGGGCUAAUGACUGGGGUGAAGUCGUAACAAGGUAGCCGUACCGGAAGGUGCGGCUGGAUCACCUCCUAA
This 264-nucleotide ribosomal RNA is filed under the name uncultured cyanobacterium. RNAcentral's name for it is "partial 16S ribosomal RNA". It matches the Rfam family "Bacterial small subunit ribosomal RNA", at positions 1271 to 1533 of the family's 1533-position model. Lineage: Bacteria; Bacillati; Cyanobacteriota. The record is from RNAcentral.